Molecule: long non-coding RNA, 693 nt
Organism: Gadus macrocephalus (Pacific cod)
Lineage: Eukaryota; Metazoa; Chordata; Actinopteri; Gadiformes; Gadidae
Exons: 2
Source: RefSeq, a predicted model, not a curated record
ACGCACACACACGGAUAGGAACGCACGCACAUACACAGACGCACACAUACACAGACGCACCAGUACGCACACAUAUACACAGACACGCGCACACCGACACACGCACAUAUACAGACAUGCAUUCGCAUGCACACAGACGCACACACGUUUGAGGGCCCUCCUGUUGGGGUCUUUUUUUCCGGGGACAAAGUUGAUGAGCAUUCUCCUCAGUUUACUUCAGUUAAACGCAGAGUUUGACCACAGUGUUUUAAACUCUUUGAUCAGAGGGGGACUUAAUGUUGUUUUUGUAUUUUAUCGAUGGGUAAUUGUGGCAAUAACUUGUGUUACUGUAAUAUGUUGCGCGUGUGCAGAUGAGGAAUUUGGGAAACAAACAAAUGUUUUAUAUACUCUUAAUUUUAGCUGAACAAUCUGUUUUCGGAGAUCCACGGUUUGGACUGCUGAUGGAUUAAAGCUUUAAAAGACUGUAGCUUGGUUUCAUAUUCACAACCAAGGCCGAAUUAUUGACCUCUGGGAAUAGGAUUUAUUGUCCCCAUAAUUGUAUUGAUUAUCAUUUGUUAUUAACAAAGUGGAUAUGCCCUAGGUGGUGAUAUUUAACAACUACACCACAAGUCGUUAUCUUUUUCUUUAUGAUUUUAAGGACCUUUUUUGAAGGUGGUUUUUAUUUAUUUUAUUUUUAGUUUAAGGUCUCAAACU